RNAcentral lists this ribosomal RNA (253 nucleotides) under uncultured bacterium. Its description in RNAcentral is "partial 16S ribosomal RNA". It matches the Rfam family "Bacterial small subunit ribosomal RNA", at positions 524 to 776 of the family's 1533-position model. The record is from RNAcentral.
UACGUAGGGUGCAAGCGUUAAUCGGAAUUACUGGGCGUAAAGCGUGCGCAGGCGGUUAUGUAAGUCAGAUGUGAAAUCCCCGGGCUCAACCUGGGAACUGCAUUUGUGACUGCAUAGCUUGAGUGCGGCAGAGGGGGAUGGAAUUCCGCGUGUAGCAGUGAAAUGCGUAGAUAUGCGGAGGAACACCGAUGGCGAAGGCAAUCCCCUGGGCCUGCACUGACGCUCAUGCACGAAAGCGUGGGGAGCAAACAGG